This is an RNA transcript of Arabidopsis thaliana (thale cress), 442 nucleotides long. RefSeq lists it as uncharacterized. Lineage: Eukaryota; Viridiplantae; Streptophyta; Magnoliopsida; Brassicales; Brassicaceae. The transcript is spliced from 3 exons. The record is from RefSeq.
CCACGAUCUCCACGAUCUCCACCUCUUCCACUUCUUCUCCUCCAAACUUCCGAUGACUAUUUAUAUCUAUAAAAAAAUAGUCUUCCCAUCAACAGUAAUCGAUUGCUCUUAGAAAUCAGUUAAUCUUUUCUUUACUGAAGUUUUGCCAAAUACGUCUUCAAGCUCAAGCAAGCGUUUAAAAGCAUCAUUCUCUUUGGCAGAUCAAAAAACAAUAGCAGAUUUUCAUUCGCAAGAGUUCGGUUCAUAACUGAUGAAGAGAGAGUUCGGAAGACUGUUGGUCUAUUGGAGAGUCUUCUUGUUCGACGCAGAGUUCCAAAAACACUAUUCCAUUUUUCUUAUAUCUUGGUAAUUUAUACCACAAUCGGUAGGUAUUUUAGUGCUUAAAUCAAUUUUCCAUUAGUUUGUGGUAAUAGUAAAAUUCUUAGUCUUUUUAACGUCUCAU